RNAcentral lists this ribosomal RNA (422 nucleotides) under uncultured bacterium. Its description in RNAcentral is "partial 16S ribosomal RNA". It matches the Rfam family "Bacterial small subunit ribosomal RNA", at positions 360 to 774 of the family's 1533-position model. The record is from RNAcentral.
AAUCUUCCACAAUGGGCGAAAGCCUGCUGGAGCAACGCCGCGUGAGUGAAGAAGGUUUUCGGAUCGUCCAACUCUGUUGUAAGGGACGAACAAGUACAGUAGUAACUGGCUGUACCUUGACGGUACCUUAUUAGAAAGCCGCGGCUAACUACGUGCCAGCAGCCGCUGUAAUAAGUAGGUGGCAAGCGUUGUCCGGGAUUAUUGGGCGUAAAGCGCGCGCAGGCGGUCCUUUAAGUCUGAUGUGAAAGCCCACGGCUCAACCGUGGAGGGUCAUUGGAAACAGGGGGACUUGAGUGCAGAAGAGGAAAGUGGAAUUCCAAGUGUAGCGGUGAAAUGCGUAGAGAUUUGGAGGAACACCAGUGGCGAAGGCGACUUUCUGGUCUGUAACUGACGCUGAGGCGCGAAAGCGUGGGGAGCAAACA